Molecule: ribosomal RNA, 431 nt
Filed under: uncultured bacterium
Lineage: Bacteria
Description: bacterial SSU rRNA
Rfam family: Bacterial small subunit ribosomal RNA
Source: RNAcentral
AACGAACGCUGGCGGCGUGCCUAACACAUGCAAGUCGUGCGAGAAAGUCUCCUUCGGGAGGCGAGUAAAGCGGCGCACGGGUGAGUAACACGUGGGUAACCUGCCUUUGAGACUGGGACAACCCAGGGAAACCCGGGCUAAUACCAGAUACGGCCUCGGGAUCUUCGGAUCCUGAGGCGAAAUGAUGGCCUAUGCUUGCAAGCCAUCGCUCGAAGAUGGGCCCGCGGCCCAUUAGCUAGUUGGUGGGUAACGGCUCACCAAGGCAAUGAUGGGUAGCUGGUCUGAGAGGAUGAUCAGCCACACUGGGACUGAGACACGGCCCAGACUCCUACGGGAGGCAGCAGUGGGGAAUUUUGGGCAAUGGGCGAAAGCCUGACCCAGCAACGCCGCGUGCAGGAUGAAGGCCCUCGGGUCGUAAACUGCUGUCGGGA